RNAcentral lists this non-coding RNA (31 nucleotides) under Mus musculus (house mouse). Lineage: Eukaryota; Metazoa; Chordata; Mammalia; Rodentia; Muridae. The record is from RNAcentral.
UAAUGAGGACAACCUCAGAGUGCUUAGGUCC